AAGCGUGCGCAGGCGGUUAUGUAAGACAGAUGUGAAAUACCCCGGGCUCAACCUGGGAACUGCAUUUGUGACUGCAUGGCUAGAGUACGGUAGAGGGGGAUGGAAUUCCGCGUGUAGCAGUGAAAUGCGUAGAUAUGCGGAGGAACACCGAUGGCGAAGGCAAUCCCCUGGGCCUGUACUGACGCUCAUGCACGAAAGCGUGGGGAGCAAACAGGAUUAGAUACCCGAGU
RNAcentral lists this ribosomal RNA (230 nucleotides) under uncultured bacterium. RNAcentral's name for it is "partial 16S ribosomal RNA". It matches the Rfam family "Bacterial small subunit ribosomal RNA", at positions 563 to 791 of the family's 1533-position model. The record is from RNAcentral.